CAUAAUCAUUUGUCUUUUAAUUAAAGACUAGAACAAAAGAUUGAACAUUUUAAUUAAUAUAUCCAAACUAAUUAAUUAAAUUUAUUUUAAAUGUAAAAAAACAUUUAUUAAUUAGAAAGACGAUAAGACCCUAUUAAACUUAACUUAAGUUAAACUGGGGCAGUUAAUUAAUUAUCAUUUUAAUUUAAAUACAAAAACAAAUAGAUCCUAUAAAAUAGAUUAAAUGAUCAAGUUACUAUAGGGAUAACAGCGUAAUAUUAAUUAAAAGACCUUAUUAAAAUAAAAGAUUACGACCUCGAUGUUGAAUUAAUAACCUAUAUAGUAAACAAUAAAGGAAGUC
Molecule: ribosomal RNA, 340 nt
Filed under: Amaurobioides pleta
Lineage: Eukaryota; Metazoa; Arthropoda; Arachnida; Araneae; Anyphaenidae
Description: partial 16S ribosomal RNA
Source: RNAcentral